AGUGAACGCUGGCGGUAGGCCUAACACAUGCAAGUCGAACGGCAGCACAGUAAGAGCUUGCUCUUACGGGUGGCGAGUGGCGGACGGGUGAGGAAUACAUCGGAAUCUACUUUUUCGUGGGGGAUAACGUAGGGAAACUUACGCUAAUACCGCAUACGACCUACGGGUGAAAGCAGUGGAUCUUCGGACCUUGCGCGAUUGAAUGAGCCGAUGUCGGAUUUGCUGGUUGGCGGGGUAAAGGCCCACCAAGGCGACGAUCCGUAGCUGGUCUGAGAGGAGGAUCAGCGACACUGGAACUGAGACACGGUCCAGACUCCUACGGGAGGCAGCAGUGGGGAAUAUUGGACAAUGGGCGCAAGCCUGAUCCAGCCAUACCGCGUGGGUGAAGAAGGCCUUCGGGUUGUAAAGCCCUUUUGUUGGGAAAGAAAAGCAGCAGGUUAAUACCCCGCUGUUCUGACGGUACCCAAAGAAUAAGCACCGGCUAACUUCGUG
Molecule: ribosomal RNA, 492 nt
Filed under: uncultured bacterium
Lineage: Bacteria
Description: partial 16S ribosomal RNA
Rfam family: Bacterial small subunit ribosomal RNA
Source: RNAcentral